AGUGAACGCUGGCGGUAGGCCUAACACAUGCAAGUCGAACGGCAGCACAGUAAGAGCUUGCUCUUACGGGUGGCGAGUGGCGGACGGGUGAGGAAUACAUCGGAAUCUACUUUUUCGUGGGGGAUAACGUAGGUAAACUUACUCUAAUACCGCAUACGACCUACGGGUGAAAGCAGGGGAUCUUCGGACCUUGCGCGAAUGAAUGAGCCGAUGUCGGUUUAGCUAGUUGGCUGGGUAAAGGCCCAGCAAGGCGACGAUCCGUAGCUGGUCUGAGAGGAUGGUAGGCCACACUGGAACUGAGACACGGUCCAGACUCCUACGGGAGGCAGCAGUGGGGAAUAUUGGACAAUGGGCGCAAGCCUGAUCCAGCCAUACCGCGUGGGUGAAGAAGGCCUUCGGGUUGUAAAGCCCUUUUGUUGGGAAAGAAAAGCAGCAGGUUAAUACCCCGCUGUUCUGACGGUACCCAAAGAAUAAGCACCGGCUAACUUCGUG
Molecule: ribosomal RNA, 492 nt
Filed under: uncultured bacterium
Lineage: Bacteria
Description: partial 16S ribosomal RNA
Rfam family: Bacterial small subunit ribosomal RNA
Source: RNAcentral